Molecule: long non-coding RNA, 2415 nt
Filed under: Homo sapiens (human)
Lineage: Eukaryota; Metazoa; Chordata; Mammalia; Primates; Hominidae
Description: non-protein coding lnc-NRG4-3:1
Source: RNAcentral
CGGGGAGCCGGAGCCUCUCCGGGGCAGGCUCCCCUUUGUCCCGGGACUCGAAGCGCCCCCUCUCCGUCCUCGCCCUGCCCCGCGGGGCCGCGGCCGGGCGCCUCACCGUGAUGUUGCAGUGGAGCGUGAGUGGCGGCGGCAGCGAGUGCGGGCUGCCCUGCUGCGGCACCAGGAACUGGCAGUGCAGCUCGUCCAGCUUCCAACUGACGAUGCGGAAUCGCUCGUGGUUCUUGUCGAAGAUGGACGCCAGGAACUUCAGCUCGGCCUUGAGCCCUGACACGGACAUCUUCCCCUCAUCUCCGGCGGGAGGGGCGCGGAAGGGGAGCCGGGCGCGGAAGGGGAGCCGGGCCCGGAGCCGCCGUCACGGCCGCGACCGCCCCGCGGGGCCGGCCUGGGCCGCGCUCUCGCGGCUCCGCCUCGUCGAGCGCUGCUGGAAAAUGGCGAGGGGCGCGGAAGCCUCGGCGUGUGGCGGCCUGGGUGGCGCUUCCUUUGUAACCGACUCCAGCGGCAGGAGGCGGCGGCCCCGCGGCUUAAAAGGGCAACAGCGACGCCGCCCCCGCUACCGCCUGGGAAAGGGCUGCCCCCACCCCGCCCCCGUCCCCCUCACCCUGGCGCGCCCUGCGCGCUCCGGUUUCAGCGCGUGCACGAGGCCAGAGCGCGCGCGCCCGGCCGCCCCCUCCUCGCCUUGACCCAGCUCCCUUGUUCCCGACCCAUCUGCUCCGUUCUUCGCACCCGCGGACUGGAGGCUCGGGGCCAGCUGGCGCCCGGGCCCCAGAAGUCGGGGAGGAGCCGGAGACCCCCGCGCGCCCCCGCCCCCGGCCUGGAGCCGGACACGUGCGUGGCGGAUCGCGCCGGCCACGUCGGCGCCGCUGCAGACUAGCGCCAGCCCCUGGGGGCGGCUCCUCAGCUUGGCGCUCGGCGCGGCACCCGCUAACCUCACUGGGGGGACCUCGUGGGAGACGCGGGUGCGGCUCACCCAGCGUUACCUCCGCUACUUUCACCCUAGUCCGAGCCACCGCUUCGCUAGCCUGGGUUCCUGUGAGGACCUUCUCACCAGCCUGGGUUCCUGUGAGGACCUUCUCACCGGACUCGCUGCUCCCGCCUUUGCUCUCAAACCAUCCAUUUACCCAAGACGAUGGUUUAGCCCCUGGAGGCUGUUGCCUGGAGGUGUCCCAUGAUUUCAUCCCUUCCCUUAGCUACCACCUGUGUUCACUCUGCCGUAUAUAGUCUCUCUCUCCCCCCUUUCCUUAUUUUGCCUUGUUUCCCAAGCUUAAGAUAACCCUCCCCACCCACACCCCCAUGGAGCUAGGGCUGCCCACUAUUUUCACUAAACUCAUAGCUCAAAUAUCAUCUCCGGCACCCCCCACCACAACCCAUUUCAAAUAGUCACCCUGUGUCACAUCGUCCUGUGCUAAGUUUUUGUUGGGCACCUGUCACUAUCUGAUCUUUAACCCAUUUAUUCCUUGUCUCUGCCCCGUGUUAAUGUGUUCAGAGCUGUAUCCCCAGGACCUAGAACAAGACCUGUUAUAUAGUAGAAACCCGAUAUGAUUGAAUUGAAUGCUCGCUCUUAUCUGGAAUCCCCACCACUAGCACAAUUCCUGGCACAUUGUAGGUGCUCAAAAAAUGAAUAAAGGUCUGGAUAGCAGUCCAAAGGAAUACAUCCCAAUUUGGCAGACAAUAGUGUGUGCAAUCGUAAGUGCAAGAGGCAGGACCAGCUGCAUAUGCGUCCAACCUAUGUAGUUGCACAGUGCUCCCAGCUUAGAAGGGCUUCGAGCUUGGUUUAAUAUUCUGGUGUCGCCAUUUUGAAAUUCGUAAUUUUUCAGAAAGGGGCUCCGCAUUUUCCUUUUCCAGUCUUACCUAGAGUUACCCAACCCUGACACCUGUCUCUUUCUUCCUAAUCUACAAGAGAUCCCUGGGCUACUGGUCCCCUUAGAUGACAAAAUACAGAACAACACAGGGACACAUUAAGUCUACUGAAAGUUUUUAUUUCCAUCUACUUCUGAGAUUUUGUAUCAUGUUAUAGUCCUUAGCCUUUAAGAAGACAAAUAAACUUUUCCAAUUUACCUCAGUAAGUUAGUAGCUCCCCACAGCCUACAAAUUCAGUCUCUUAUCAUUCAAACCAGCCCUAACUUUUCCUGGCCAUGCCCCAACUUCUACCAUCUUCUACCCCAACUUCUAUCUAGCCUUUAAGAAGACUAAGAUUCUCACAGACCCCUUUGAGAAUCUAAUAAAAGCUAUGAUCCAUCUUCCCAGGAAAAUACUUCUGCAUCUAAAAUUUUGUACUUAUGGGGAUUCAUGACCCCAGCACUAGAGCUACCACACUAUACACUGGGACUGGGAGAAGAAGGGGUUCCAGGCCUGGGUUCUGAGCCAGAAACAACUAGGCUACUGUAUUAGCAUUAUUGCUGGGUUAAG